UACGUAGGGUGCAAGCGUUGUCCGGAAUCAUUGGGCGUAAAGAGCGUGUAGGCGGCCCGGUAAGUCCGCUGUGAAAGUCCAGGGCUCAACCCUGGGAUGCCGGUGGAUACUGUCGGGCUCGAGUCCGGAAGAGGAGUGUGGAAUUCCUGGUGUAGCGGUGAAAUGCGCAGAUAUCAGGAGGAACACCAAUGGCGAAGGCAGCACUCUGGGACGUGACUGACGCUGAGACGCGAAAGCAUGGGGAGCGAACAGG
This 253-nucleotide ribosomal RNA is filed under the name uncultured bacterium. RNAcentral's name for it is "partial 16S ribosomal RNA". It matches the Rfam family "Bacterial small subunit ribosomal RNA", at positions 524 to 776 of the family's 1533-position model. The record is from RNAcentral.